RNAcentral lists this small RNA (38 nucleotides) under Arabidopsis thaliana (thale cress). RNAcentral's name for it is "ATSL255020". Lineage: Eukaryota; Viridiplantae; Streptophyta; Magnoliopsida; Brassicales; Brassicaceae. The record is from RNAcentral.
AUCAAUCGGAUUCGGAGCUGCAGAAGAACUGGGACCAU